Molecule: non-coding RNA, 1221 nt
Organism: Benincasa hispida (wax gourd)
Lineage: Eukaryota; Viridiplantae; Streptophyta; Magnoliopsida; Cucurbitales; Cucurbitaceae
Source: RefSeq, a predicted model, not a curated record
CCCCCCUUUCUUCCUCCCUUCUCCAACGUGAAGCCAAAACCAACCCCCCAAUCUCUUCUUCUCCUGGUCGCGUGAGGAUCCGCUGUUCAGCCUAGGCAUCCACAUCCGUGUGCCAUCAACUCCACGCCACUCGUCCACAUCCGUGUACCGUUGACUCCACACUAGUUGUCCAUGUCCGUGCGCCGUCGACUCCAUACCAGCCAUUCGCGUCUAUGCACCGUCAACUCCACGCCAGCCAUCUACGUCAGAUCCAACCGUACAACCUCUGGUCGUCCUCAUCUGUGUCGUGCAUCGUUAGUCUAUCCGCGUUGUCUGCUACCGCUACUCCAUUUGUGAUUUUGGCUUUUAGAGACUGGUGGCUCGUUGUCCAACAAAUUAGAGGUUGUUUCGGGAAGAGUUUGGUAGAUGUGCCUGGCUCAAGUUUCCUCGAAGAAAAAAUGGGAGGUUGAAUUGAUUGUGCUAGAUUUCAAGGUAAAAGUAAGGAUAAACCAACGAAUGACAGGAGGGAUCCAUGACCCGACCAUUUGGAUAUGUCAUCGUUUCCACACUUAGGUAGCGGUUAGUUCCCUCGCAACUGAAUCCACUGUAGCUUGCCACCCAAAGUUUGGUGACCUUAGGAAGAAGCUUAGGUUAAACUUGUUUUGAUGUACACACAUUUAGAAAGGAGUCGGGGACUUGUAAAACUUAUUUUCUUUUGGGACAGAUGUUUAUCUUGGUCAUCUUAUUUCAUUGGACAUAUGUUUGUUUUGGAUCUGUAAUUAAGACUUGCACUGCUUAAUUUUAUGGAUGUGUUUUCUGCCAAGUCGUUGCAUAUUCAGGUUUAAGCAGGUUCACUUAAGUUAGGCAGUAAAUGUUGGCACCUAGGUCGGUAACUACUACCAUCAUAUCCUCUUCCGAUUUUAGAGGGUAAACCAGGAGGGGGUGUGACAUUAUGCCUAUGUUACAUUGUUCCCUUGGGAUCACCACUUCUGCUUGUGACUGUGCCCUCCGGGGUCACUACUUACAAAAGCGUGCCUUCGAAUUUGCCCCUUAUGCUUAUGCAUGUGCCUAUGCCUAUGCCUACGAUGUGUAAUGUGCACCUAGCCUUGCUAGAGAGUCUAAUAGUUCACUUAGUGGGCCCAAUAGUGGGUCGCUUACUGAGUAUAUCUAUAUAGUCAUCCUUUUCCUUUCAUGUUUUUCAGGUAGUAAGGAUAGACCGGCGAAUGACAGGAGGAAUCUGUG